GGUGUUGCACCUCUGUCCAUCUGGUUUGUUGUUUCCCUGUUUGUGGAUUUUGCCUGUCCACCAUUGGAUUUUGUUUCUUCUGUUUGAGCUUGCUUACCUGCUGUGAGCUACUGUUGCCUGCCUUCUCCAGUGGACAUUUGGGAGGAAGUUGAAGACUUCUGCCGAGAGGCCGUCAUUUCCAGAGUCAAAGCAAGGUCGUCAGCAUUGCCGGGGCUGAGGGAGGCCAUUCCUGGGUCACGGACUUCCUUUUUACCCAGAGACCUCAGCCUUCACUCCGGUCUACUAACAACCAGCAUGCUAGCCCUCUGUCAGUUAAGCUCAGGUACGUUGGUCUACAACCAGCCUGUCCUGAGCUGACCCAAACCCUGACCACAUUUGAAGGAACUUGUCUGGCUUUUGGAGGCCGCCAGCUUGGUUUCUGGCCUGCUAGCCAGCCUGCACCUCAGUCUGUUCCUGUCCAGCGUGGCUCCCGCCAACGUCGCGCCUCACUGCUGCCCUGCGCCGUGGAGGUCCUACUGUUCAUGGGUGCAGCAACCCACUGAGCCUGUGCUGUCAUCAGUCUUGCCUGUUCCUGCUAAGCUGUAACAGACACUAGUUCCUGAGUUGCAGCAACCUCCUGAACCCUCGGUGCUGCAGCAGCUCCCUGAACUCCCUGUUCGAUCGUAGCAGCCAUGUCUUGGGCCGCAACCAUCUCCAGUUCUAGUUGAGCUGAACUCUCUGAGAUGCAGCAAACUCCUACCACUGCUGGAUUGCAGCCAUACCCUGGUCCGGUUGGGCCGCAACCUCCUGAACUCUGUGCUGCAGCAGUCACACGAUCCUCUUGAGCUGCAACAUCCUCCUGAUCUCCCUGUUGGGCUGCAACAACAGGGGCUGUCCGCCUGAGGUUCCCGGCCCCAUUUCUGUCCUGCCCCCAGGCCGUCAGCAUGAGGUCUUCCACCCAAUAAAACCCUCUUGAUCAUAAUAGUAAAAUUUAAAUAAAGAUUAAAAUAGAAUGCAUGAGAUGGAAUAAUAAUAAUAAUAAUAAUAAUACAAAAUUUUAUUUUUACAGCAUAUCUCAUGCAAAGAUGCAGGACAAAGUGCUUCACAAGACAUCAAUAAUAAACAAAGGCAAAAGAAAAUAACAGUUAAAUGAUACCAGCAAUAUCAACCCAAAUUAGAAAAGUUAAAAAGAGGUCUUUAUUUUUAAAAAUACUAAGGGAGGGCUUUCCACAUUUUAGGGCCAUAAAAACAGAAAGCAACCUCCCCAGAUUUCUUGUGAGACACUUUAGUAUCUUCUAAAAAGGCAGUGGAAAAUCUGAGUUCUUGCUGGGACAUAAAAUGAGAGGCAUUCCCUAAUGUGUGAGGGUGCUAGAUUAUGUAAUGCUUUGUACACAAGUAAAAGGACUUUAAAAUCAAUUCCAGAAGAUGCAGGGAGCCACUGCAGUGAUGCGAGGAGAGGGGUAAUGUGAUCUCGCUUUUUUUGUAUUGGUCAAAAUCCUGGCUGCAGCGUUGUGAAUUAUCUGUCAUUUUCUUAGACUUUUUAGGGAGACCAGUGAAUAGAGAGUUGUAGUUUAAGCGACUAGUAAUAAAAGAAUGUAUCAGCAAUUCAGCAUCAUUCUGAGUUAAAUGAUCUAAUUUUGGCAAUGUUCCUCAGAUGGAAAAACUAUAAUUUUUGUGACCUUGUUUAAAAUUGCUAAUAAAGUUAAGAUCAGAGUCUAAAACCACUCCCAGAUCAGUAACGUGUCUGAUUUGCUUCGACAGGCUAGCAAGCACUGACUCAAGUCUCUGCCCUUCUGCUUUUUGGAGGGGCUGUUUUUUUUUUUUUUUUCAAUGAGUAAAAUUUCUGUUUUCUCCUCAUAGCUUUUUAGUCAGUGAGACAGGUAAAAAGAGCAUUUAAAGAUCUGUGGUUGUCUGGUGAAACAAAGAUGUAAAGUCUGUGAUAUUUGACAUUAUGGUGAUUUAAUUAUGUUGUCCAGAGGGAGCAUGUAUAAACAAAAGAGAAUAGGACCCAGAAUGCUUCCCUGCAGAACGCCGUAUUUUAUGUCAAGUGUCUAUGACAGACAUCUAAACUAACAAAGAAUUCUUUCAGACAGGUAUGAGUGAAACCAGUUGAACACUGUGCCAGAGAGACCAACCCAUUUCUCAAGUCGAUUGAUUAAAAUGCCAUGAUCAAUUGUAUCAAAUGCAGCCCUCAAAUCUAACGAAAAGAGGACUGCUACAUUCUUUUUAAUAAAGCGGUUUAAAAUAUUACUUUAACAUAUAACUUACUGAGUAACUUGAGUGGACUUUAUUUAACUUGAGUAA
Siniperca chuatsi (mandarin fish) is the source of this 2283-nucleotide long non-coding RNA. RefSeq lists it as uncharacterized. The transcript has 2 exons. The record is from RefSeq and is a predicted model, not a curated record. NCBI's taxonomy places the organism in Eukaryota, Metazoa, Chordata, Actinopteri, Centrarchiformes, Sinipercidae.